GACGAACGCUGGCGGCGUGCUUAACACAUGCAAGUCGAACGGUAAGGCCCUGCCUUGGUGGGGUGCUUGAGUGGCGAACGGGUGAGUAACACGUGAGUAACCUGCCCUUUACUUUGGGAUAACUUCAGGAAACUGGGGCUAAUACCGGAUAAGAGCUCCUGCUGCAUGGUGAGGGUUGGAAAGGUUCGGCGGUUCGGGUUGGACUCGAGGCUUCUCAGCUUUUUGGUGGGGUAGUGGACUACCAAGGCUUUGACGGUUAGCCGGCCUGAGAGGGUGACAGGCCACAUUGGGAUUGGGGUGGGGCCCAGACUGCUACGGGAGGAAGCAGUGGGGGACAUUGCACAAUGGGCGGAAGGAGGAUGGAGGAAUGCCGCGUGGGGGAUGACGGCUGUCGGGUUGGAAAGCGCGUUCGCCUGUGACGAAGCGUGAGUGACGGUAAUGUGUAAAGAAGCACCGGCUAACUACGUG
This 468-nucleotide ribosomal RNA is filed under the name uncultured bacterium. RNAcentral's name for it is "partial 16S ribosomal RNA". It matches the Rfam family "Bacterial small subunit ribosomal RNA", at positions 28 to 507 of the family's 1533-position model. The record is from RNAcentral.